CACGUAGGGCGCAAGCGUUGUCCGGAAUUAUUGGGCGUAAAGAGCUCGUAGGCGGUCUGUUGCGUCCGCUGUGAAAACUCGGGGCUUAACCCCGAGCCUGCAGUGGAUACGGGCAGACUAGAGGUAGGUAGGGGAGAAUGGAAUUCCCGGUGUAGCGGUGAAAUGCGUAGAUAUCGAGAGGAACACCUGCGGCGAAGGCGGGUUGCUGGGCUGACACUGACGCUGAAGCGCGAAAGCUAGGGGAGCGAACGGG
Molecule: ribosomal RNA, 253 nt
Filed under: uncultured bacterium
Lineage: Bacteria
Description: partial 16S ribosomal RNA
Rfam family: Bacterial small subunit ribosomal RNA
Source: RNAcentral